GGACGGGUGGCAGAGAAUGGUGAAAUGCGGCGGACUCUAAAUCCGCUUCGCUUCGGCGAUGUGGGUUCAAAUCCCAUCCCGUCCG
RNAcentral lists this transfer RNA (85 nucleotides) under Caudoviricetes sp. Its description in RNAcentral is "tRNA-OTHER". It matches the Rfam family "tRNA". From Rfam's summary of the family: Transfer RNA (tRNA) molecules are approximately 80 nucleotides in length. Their secondary structure includes four short double-helical elements and three loops (D, anti-codon, and T loops). Further hydrogen bonds mediate the characteristic L-shaped molecular structure. tRNAs have two regions of fundamental functional importance: the anti-codon, which is responsible for specific mRNA codon recognition, and the 3' end, to which the tRNAs corresponding amino acid is attached (by aminoacyl-tRNA synthetases). tRNAs cope with the degeneracy of the genetic code in two manners: having more than one tRNA (with a specific anti-codon) for a particular amino acid; and 'wobble' base-pairing, i.e. permitting non-standard base-pairing at the 3rd anti-codon position. Lineage: Duplodnaviria; Heunggongvirae; Uroviricota; Caudoviricetes. The record is from RNAcentral.